This 938-nucleotide long non-coding RNA is filed under the name Setaria italica (foxtail millet). Its description in RNAcentral is "long non-coding RNA (SITA_LNC006601)". Lineage: Eukaryota; Viridiplantae; Streptophyta; Magnoliopsida; Poales; Poaceae. The record is from RNAcentral.
UUCACAACCCCAGACACUUCCUUCACAGCCACAGGGCUUUCAACCUGGCAUUCCCACUCCAUCACAGCCAAUUGAUCUCAGCACUCUGGUGGAGGGUCCUGGAGCGGCAAAGCAAGCUGCUCGUCCGCCAGCUCCUACUGCUGUGCGCCCUGGCCAGGUACUAUGUUUUUCCUGAAAACAAAUCUGAUGGAUCGGGAUCAUUUCCUUGACACCCUCAUCCAUGGUUACAGGUACCGCGUGGUGCUCCUGCAGCAGAAUGCUACAAGAUGGCUCUUGCUCACCUUGAGCAGAAUCAGCUUACCGAUGCACUAUCUUGUUUGGAUGAAGCAUUCUUGGCCCUCGCAAAGGACCAGUCACGUGAAGCUGAUAUCAAAGCGCAGGCCACCAUUUGUGCUCAGUAUAAGAUUGCAGUUGCUCUGCUACAGGUAAUUUAAUUUCUGAUAUGGCAUGAAGACAUAAUAGGAUGUGCCUCCUAAUUUAUGCUCAGUAUAAGAUUGCAGUUGCCCUAGCUCAGUUUUGAUUUCAAUGCAGGAAAUUGCUCGCCUGCAAAGGGUUCAAGGCGCUGGUACUCUCAGUGCUAAGGAGGAAAUGGCCAGGCUAUCUCGGCACCUCGCUUCCCUACCCAUCCAAGCCAAGCACCGGAUCAACUGCAUCAGGACCGCCAUCAAGCGGAACAUGGAGGUCCAGAACUACGCCUACGCCAAGCAGAUGCUGGACCUCCUCUACUCCAAGGCGCCCCCCACGAAGCAGGACGAGCUCAAGAGCCUGAUCGACAUGUGCGUCCAGAGAGGGCUGACGAACAAGUCCAUCGACCCGUUCGAGGACCCCUCGCAGUUCUGCUCCGUGACCCUCAGCCGGCUCUCGACCAUCGGGCACGACGUGUGCGACCUCUGCGGCGCCAAGUUCUCGGCGCUCUCAGCGCCGGGGUGUGUCAUCUG